This is a small nucleolar RNA of Sorex araneus (European shrew), 134 nucleotides long. Lineage: Eukaryota; Metazoa; Chordata; Mammalia; Eulipotyphla; Soricidae. The record is from Ensembl.
AACCAAAGUGUUGAGCCUAGUUCAGGGCUGCUUCCCUGCACUUGCAAUUAAACUUUGGGACAGUAAGUUAUGGGCUGGGAGAGAUCAUUGAGCAGAAGAUAUUUCUCUGUUCAUUUCCCUCCUGGCCUGUAAAA